GGUUUGUGGCUCAGUGGUAGAGUGCUUGCCUAGCAUGUGUGAGGCACUGGGUUCAAUUCUCAGAACUA
RNAcentral lists this transfer RNA (68 nucleotides) under Marmota monax (woodchuck). RNAcentral describes it as "tRNA.Ala". Lineage: Eukaryota; Metazoa; Chordata; Mammalia; Rodentia; Sciuridae. The record is from RNAcentral.